Molecule: ribosomal RNA, 437 nt
Filed under: uncultured bacterium
Lineage: Bacteria
Description: bacterial SSU rRNA
Rfam family: Bacterial small subunit ribosomal RNA
Source: RNAcentral
GUCGGCGACCGGCGCACGGGUGAGGUAACGCGUAUCCAACCUUCCCCAUAGUAGAGGAUAGCCCGGCGAAAGUCGGAUUAAUACUCUAUGUUGUGUCAAUGAGGACAUCUGAAUAACACUAAAGAUUUAGUCGCUAUGGGAUGGGGAUGCGUCUGAUUAGGUAGUCGGCGGGGUAACGGCCCACCGAGCCGACGAUCAGUAGGGGUUCUGAGAGGAAGGUCCCCACAUUGGUACUGAGACACGGACCAAACUCCUACGGGAGGCAGCAGUGAGGAAUAUUGGUCAAUGGACGAGAGUCUGAACCAGCCAAGUAGCGUGCAGGAAUGACUGCCCUAUGGGUUGUAAACUGCUUUUAUGCGGGUAAUAAAGUCAGGUACGUGUACCUGUUUGUAUGUACCGCAUGAAUAAGGACCGGCUAAUUCCGUGCCAGCCGCUGC